AGCGGUGCGCGUUGCUUGUGCCAUCUACCCGGUCCCUUGGGAACCCGACGUGACCCACACUCCAGUCCGCCCCCCCCCCGGCCCUCGUCGUGCGAGGGGCGGCCGCGGCGCGGGCGUCGCGCGCCCCCGGACAAAGCGGCCGUCAGGCCCCCGUCCCGGUCGGGCUCCCGACGUCCCGCGAGCGCUCUCGGAUGCGGCACGUGCCGCGGGCUUCGGGGACUUCGUUCCCCGACCCGGACCUCGGUCGGUCGUCGAGCCGCCCUCGUCGAGAGGACGGCCGGCCCGUCGUCGGGCCCCUUCCGCCCCCCCGCGGGCGGGCGGGCGCCCCGGCGGCGG
This 336-nucleotide unclassified non-coding RNA is filed under the name Tillandsia landbeckii. Its description in RNAcentral is "partial external transcribed spacer". The record is from RNAcentral. Lineage: Eukaryota; Viridiplantae; Streptophyta; Magnoliopsida; Poales; Bromeliaceae.